RNAcentral lists this ribosomal RNA (440 nucleotides) under uncultured Moryella sp. RNAcentral's name for it is "bacterial SSU rRNA". It matches the Rfam family "Bacterial small subunit ribosomal RNA", at positions 338 to 795 of the family's 1533-position model. Lineage: Bacteria; Bacillati; Bacillota; Clostridia; Lachnospirales; Lachnospiraceae. The record is from RNAcentral.
CCUACGGGGGGCAGCAGUGGGGAAUAUUGCACAAUGGGGGGAACCCUGAUGCAGCGACGCCGCGUGAGUGAAGAAGUAUUUCGGUAUGUAAAGCUCUAUCAGCAGGGAAGAAGAUGACGGUACCUGAGUAAGAAGCCCCGGCUAACUACGUGCCAGCAGCCGCGGUAAUACGUAGGGGGCAAGCGUUAUCCGGAUUUACUGGGUGUAAAGGGAGCGCAGACGGCUAUGCAAGUCUGAAGUGAAAGCCCGGGGCUCAACCCCGGGAUUGCUUUGGAAACUGUGUAGCUAGAGUGUCGGAGAGGUAAGCAGAAUUCCCAGUGUAGCGGUGAAAUGCGUAGAUAUUGGGAAGAAUACCGGUGGCGAAGGCGGCUUACUGGACGAUAACUGACGUUCAGGCUCGAAGGCGUGGGGAGCAAACAGGAUUAGAUACCCCAGUAGUC